GCUAAAUUCAAUCAAACAUGCAUUACGGUAUUUAUGCAGUAGCUCUUUUUGCAACGGUAAAAUAAAUGUACUUCCUGGACAUGGGUGCUUUAUAAAAACCUACCACAACCAGGGCGGCAUCUGCGUGUGCACACAGAACUCAUUUUGUAAAUAAAGACACUGCACAAACAUUGCUUUUGCGGGUUUGCAUUAAUUCCACCCUGAGUGAUCCUGCAAAACCUGAUCCUUGAUUCAGGUCGCACACAGGCUGCACUAAUCCUCAGUCCGUGUGUUUGUCUAACUCUUGCUAAAUAAGAAAUUAAUCCAAAAUCACAACCCAGAAGGAUCCUUUUAAGUCAAGAACUGGUCCCAAAGCUGCCAACCGAAGCCUCUGUUAGGGCUUCGCUAGGAACAACAACCUCCUUCCAACAAUGCACACAGAAAUAGCAGCAAAAACACUUUUGAAUGAGUCGUUGUCAAUUCUGGGCAUACACUUUGAACAGUAAUUUACUUGAUUUCCCCUAAUCAAAUGUUCCUGUUUUAACCAUGGAGGGCAGGGAACCACGAUUCCCAAACAGAGAGAUGAAAGGCAUAAUGCUUUUUUUUUUUGUAUUGUCAGUUUAUGGAAAUGUUUUUCCUUUCAAUGUCAUUGUUGAAAUUGUGUCGGCCUCCCCUCUCCACCCAACACUCCAGUCUGGGCUCAGAACUGAGGUCCACCUGGCAUAUAUUGUGUCGGCCUCCCCUCUUCACCCAACCCUCCAGUCUGGGCUCUUAACUGAGUUCCACCUGGCAUAUAUUGUGUCGGCCUCCCCUCUUCACCCAACCCUCCAGUCUGGGCUCGGAACUGAGGUCCACCUGGCAUAUAUUGUGUCGGCCUCCCCUCUUCACCCAACCCUCCAGUCUGGGCUCGGAACUGAGGUCCACCUGGCAUAUAUUGUGUCGGCCUCCCCUCUUCACCCAACCCUCCAGUCUGGGCUCGGAACUGAGGUCCACCUGGCAUAUAUUGUGUCGGCCUCCCCUCUUCACCCAACCCUCCAGUCUGGGCUCUUAACUGAGUUCAACCUGGCAUAAAUUGUGUCGGCCUCCCCUCUUCACCCAACCCUCCAGUCUGGGCUCUGAACUGAGGUCCACCUGGCACAAGGUGAGUGGUGGCAAUGGGUCACAGGCUGGCCAUGGAACCACACAGGCAAAUGGCACCGAAUUCCCUAUAAAGGGCACCACUUGUGACCAGGGUCCAUAAGCAGUGCACUAUUCACGUAAAGAGCGCCAAUUGUGACAAGACAGAACAGUGUUGGGUAAACGCUCUUGCAAUUCGGACAAGAGGUGAUGCCACCAAGUGUGUGCUUCCAGAAGCUUCUGAGCCACAGGGCCAGUUGUAGUCCAGCUAUCACGGGAGGGAGCUUGGCUUUUAUUGUCUUAAAACCCCACGGAGAGCAGAGCGCAGCCUCAAACGGUCCAUAACCUUGUUUUAAUGGCACGAUGAAUACACACUUACAGCACGUAAUGGAGCCGAUCGAGGAUGAUGUCCCUUCAGGGUCAAUGGCAGACUGUUACCCAGGCAGGUAAGGAGGGGCCAGCGAUGUGUUUGCCUGUGUGAUUGUGUGCAUUUGCACUGACACGUUGUUAUUUGUGCUGCUGGGAAGGGGGGGGGGGCUGUAGGAGGAGCUUGUGGACCCCAUAGUCAAAGGUGACAUUCUUCAUCAGGUGAUGAACACACUGUACUGUGCUUGAUAAGCUGAAACUCAAAUAACACUAAAUGAAAUAGCAGUAAAAAUGCAGCAAAGAGAAAACACAGCCCAACAAAUCAUUGUCUACGGUUGUUUGUCCAGGAAGGUGUGGUUGUUUGUUCCAAGUAGUACAAAAGUGUGCAGAGGAUAUGGAUGAAACACUAACAACAGUUAAACAUAAGCUACAGAGAAAUGACCAGGAACUGUUGGCCUAGCAUAAUCUCAGGGAGGGGAAGGCACAGACAACGUUUUCCUUAGAGUAUCGUCACCAUACAGGUUACUCAAACAUUUCUCUCACAAAGUAG
Long non-coding RNA from Esox lucius (northern pike), 2011 nucleotides. The record is from Ensembl. Lineage: Eukaryota; Metazoa; Chordata; Actinopteri; Esociformes; Esocidae.